GGAAUAGGAGCCCCCAGAGACGUCCCUGUGCUGAGCCCUGGGACCUGUGCGUGUGUUCCCAUAGCUGGCAAAAGCGUUUCUGUCAAUGGCAUGCAGUUACGGGCUUCGAGAUGGGGAGUUUACUCUGGAUUUUCUGAAUGGGCCCAAUGUACUCACAGGGUUGAGUGCUCACAAGGCUCAUAAGAAAAAGAGAGAGGCGGAAGGCUCAGAGCCAGAGAGAGAGGUUUGAAGGUAUUACACUGCUGGCUUUGAAGAUGAAGGUCCGUGAGCCAAGGAAUGCAGGCGGCCUCUAGAAGUUGAAAAGGGCGAGGAAAGAGUUUCCCUGUGGAGCGUCCUGGAGGAAGAAGCCCUGCUGAUGUCUUGAUUUUAGCCCAGUAAGACCCAAUCUCUAGAACAGUAAGAUAAUUAAUUUGUGUUGUUUUUAACCACUAAGUUUGUGGUUAUGCCCCUAGAGCAGCAGUUAUAGGAAACUAGUACAGUGAUACUGUUAGAGUUAUAGGACAGUGAUAUAGGACAGUGAUACUGUUAUAGUUAUAGGAAACUAGUACAGUGAUACUGUUAGAGUUAUAGGACAGUGAUAUAGGACAGUGAUAUUGUUAUAGUUAUAGGAAACUAGUACAGUGAUACUGUUAGAGUUAUAGGUACAGUGACAUAGGACAGUGAUACUGUUAUAGUUAUAGGAAACUAGUACAGUGAUACUGUUAGAGUUAUAGGUAGAGUGAUAUAGGACAGUGAUACUGUUAUAGUUAUAGAAAACUAGUACAGUGAUACUGUUAUAGUUAUAGGACAGUGAUAUAGGACAGUGAUAUUGUUAUAGUUAUAGGAAACUAGUACAGUGAUACUGUUAGAGUUAUAGGUACAGUGAUAUAGGACAGUGAUAUUGUUAUAGUUAUAGGAAACUAGUACAGUGAUACUGUUAGAGUUAUAGGUACAGUGAUAUUGUUAUAGUUAUAGGAAACUAGUACAGUGAUACUGUUAUAGGUACAGUGAUAUAGGACAGUGAUACUGUUAUAGGAAACUAGUACAGUGAUACUGUUAGAGUUAUAGGUACAGUGACAUAGGACAGUGAUACUGUUAUAGUUAUAGGAAACUAGUACAGUGAUACUGUUAGAGUUAUAGGUACAGUGAUAUAGGACAGUGAUACUGUUAUAGUUAUAGGAAACUAGUACAGUGAUACUGUUAUAGUUAUAGGACAGUGAUAUUGUUAUAGUUAUAGGAAACUAGUACAGUGAUACUGUUAGAGUUAUAGGUACAGUGAUAUAGGACAGUGAUAUUGUUAUAGUUAUAGGAAACUAGUACAGUGAUACUGUUAUAGUUAUAGGACAGUGAUAUAGGACAGUGAUAUUGUUAUAGUUAUAGGAAACUAGUACGGUGAUACUGUUAUAGUUAUAGGUACAGUGAUAUUGUUAUAGUUAUAGGAAACUAGUACAGUGAUACUGUUAGAGUUAUAGGUACAGUGAUAUAGGACAGUGAUAUUGUUAUAGUUAUAGGAAACUAGUACAGUGAUACUGUUAUAGUUGUAGGACAGUGAUAUUGUUAUAGUUAUAGGAAACUAGUACAGUGAUACUGUUAGAGUUAUAGGUACAGUGAUAUAGGACAGUGAUACUGUUAUAGUUAUAGGACAGUGAUAUUCUUAUAGUUACCGUGGUAUAGUUAUAGUUAAAGGUACAGUGAUAUUGUUAUAGUUAUAGGACAGUGAUAUUGUUAUAGUUAUAGGACAGUGAUGUAGUUACAGUGAUAUAGGUACAGUGAUAUUGUUAUAGUUAUAGGACAGUGAUAUAGUUAUAGGACAGUGAUAUUGUUACAGUUAUAGGUACAGUGACGUUGUAAUAGUUAUAGGACAGUGAUAUUGUUAUAGUUAUAGGUACAGUGAUGUUGUAGCAAAACUGUAAGGUCAUUCCUUGGUUGUGUCCCUAUCUAGUGAAAUGACUCUACCAGGGGUAGGGAAAUAAAACUCUGUCGUUUCACACA
Molecule: long non-coding RNA, 1971 nt
Organism: Homo sapiens (human)
Lineage: Eukaryota; Metazoa; Chordata; Mammalia; Primates; Hominidae
Exons: 2
Source: RefSeq, a predicted model, not a curated record